GAUUGAGUUUGGAAUUAUAUAUGGAUAUUUGAUCUAGAGAAUGUGAGUAUGCUUAGUUUUCCUUUAUUUGCUAUUGUUUAUGUACUAAGUUGAAGAUUUGAUGUUUGCAUAAUAGGUCCUUUGGGUGGGAUGAGUUGAGCCUGACUAUGGUUAUUGUCCUUUGUUUUUAUGGUUUUUCUUUUGCUUGAGGACAAGCAAACAUUCAAGUUUGGGGGUAUUUGAUGU
This 225-nucleotide long non-coding RNA is filed under the name Phoenix dactylifera (date palm). RNAcentral's name for it is "long non-coding RNA (PDAC_LNC021329)". The record is from RNAcentral. Lineage: Eukaryota; Viridiplantae; Streptophyta; Magnoliopsida; Arecales; Arecaceae.